Molecule: ribosomal RNA, 501 nt
Filed under: uncultured bacterium
Lineage: Bacteria
Description: bacterial SSU rRNA
Rfam family: Bacterial small subunit ribosomal RNA
Source: RNAcentral
CUCAGGAUGAACGCUGACAGAAUGCUUAACACAUGCAAGUCGACUGGAAUUCUUCUUCGGAAGUUAGUACGGUGGCGGACGGGUGAGUAACGCGUAAAGAAUUUGCCCUUCAGACUGGGACAACUAACCGAAAGGUUAGCUAAUACCGGAUAUUAUGAGACCUUGGCAUCAAGGACUUAUGAAAGCUAUAUGCGCUGGAGGAGAACUUUGCGUCCCAUUAGGUAGUUGGUAGGGUAAUGGCCUACCAAGCCGACGAUGGGUAGCCGGCCUGAGAGGGUGAACGGCCACAAGGGGACUGAGACACGGCCCUUACUCCUACGGGAGGCAGCAGUGGGGAAUAUUGGACAAUGGACCAAAAGUCUGAUCCAGCAAUUCUGUGUGCACGAUGAAGGUCUUCGGAUUGUAAAGUGCUUUCAGGUGGGAAGAAGAAAGUGACGGUACCACCAGAAGAAGCGACGGCUAAAUACGUGCCAGCAGCCGCGGUAAACGCACUCGUCUGAU